This 526-nucleotide ribosomal RNA is filed under the name Quasimus sp. UPOL RK0049. Its description in RNAcentral is "partial 16S ribosomal RNA". The stretch from base 390 to 526 matches the Rfam family "Bacterial large subunit ribosomal RNA", at positions 2473 to 2610 of the family's 2925-position model. Lineage: Eukaryota; Metazoa; Arthropoda; Insecta; Coleoptera; Elateridae. The record is from RNAcentral.
CAUGUCUUUAUGAUUAUAAUUUAAAGUCUAAUCUGCUCAAUGAAUUAUAUUAAAUUGCCGCGGUAUUUUGACUGUGCAAAGGUAGCAUAAUAAUUAGUUUUUUUAUUGGAAGCUAGAAUGAAUGAUUGGACGAGAAAAUUUCUGUCUCUUUAAAAUUAAAUUUGAAUUUAACUUUUAAGUUAAAAGGCUUAAAUUUUUAUUAAAGACGAGAAGACCCUAAAGAGUUUUAUAAAAAAAAAUUUUAGUAAUUUUUGGUAUUUUGAUUAUAAAGUUUAAUUUUUUAUUUUGUUGGGGUGACUUAAAGAUUAAUUAAACUCUUUUAAUGUUAAGACAAAUAUUUUUGAUUUUAUAAUCUGGUAUUAAUCAAUUUUAAGCUAAAUUACCUUAGGGAUAACAGCGUAAUUUUUCUUUAAAGUUCUUAUUAAAAGGAAAGUUUGCGACCUCGAUGUUGGAUUAAAAUUUAUUUCUGGUGAAGAAGCUUGAAUUUUAGGUCUGUUCGACCUUUAAAAUUUUACAUGAUCUGAGU